UACGGAGGAUGCAAGCGUUAUCCGGGAUUACUGGGCGUAAAGCGCACGCAGGCGGCAGCUUAAGUCUGACGUGAAAUCUCCUGGCUUAACUGGGAGAGGUCGUUGGAAACUGGGCAGCUUGAGGUGGGGAGAGGGGUGCAGAAUUCCCGGUGUAGUGGUGGAAUGCGUAGAUAUCGGGAGGAAUACCAGUGGCGAAAGCGGCGCCCUGGCACUGACCUGACGCUCAUGUGCGAAAGCGUGGGGAGCAAACGGG
RNAcentral lists this ribosomal RNA (253 nucleotides) under uncultured bacterium. RNAcentral's name for it is "partial 16S ribosomal RNA". It matches the Rfam family "Bacterial small subunit ribosomal RNA", at positions 524 to 776 of the family's 1533-position model. The record is from RNAcentral.